This 1144-nucleotide ribosomal RNA is filed under the name Salmonella enterica. RNAcentral describes it as "partial 23S ribosomal RNA". It matches the Rfam family "Bacterial large subunit ribosomal RNA", at positions 161 to 1259 of the family's 2925-position model. Lineage: Bacteria; Pseudomonadati; Pseudomonadota; Gammaproteobacteria; Enterobacterales; Enterobacteriaceae. The record is from RNAcentral.
AAUCCAUAGGUUAAUGAGGCGAACCGGGGGAACUGAAACAUCUAAGUACCCCGAGGAAAAGAAAUCAACCGAGAUUCCCCCAGUAGCGGCGAGCGAACGGGGAGGAGCCCAGAGCCUGAAUCAGCAUGUGUGUUAGUGGAAGCGUCUGGAAAGGCGCGCGAUACAGGGUGACAGCCCCGUACACAAAAGCGCAUGUGCUGUGAGCUCGAUGAGUAGGGCGGGACACGUGGUAUCCUGUCUGAAUAUGGGGGGACCAUCCUCCAAGGCUAAAUACUCCUGACUGACCGAUAGUGAACCAGUACCGUGAGGGAAAGGCGAAAAGAACCCCGGCGAGGGGAGUGAAAAAGAACCUGAAACCGUGUACGUACAAGCAGUGGGAGCACCCUUCGGGGUGUGACUGCGUACCUUUUGUAUAAUGGGUCAGCGACUUAUAUUCUGUAGCAAGGUUAACCGUAUAGGGGAGCCGGAGGGAAACCGAGUCUUAACCGGGCGUUAAGUUGCAGGGUAUAGACCCGAAACCCGGUGAUCUAGCCAUGGGCAGGUUGAAGGUUGGGUAACACUAACUGGAGGACCGAACCGACUAAUGUUGAAAAAUUAGCGGAUGACCUGUGGCUGGGGGUGAAAGGCCAAUCAAACCGGGAGAUAGCUGGUUCUCCCCGAAAGCUAUUUAGGUAGCGCCUCGUGAAUUCAUCUCCGGGGGUAGAGCACUGUUUCGGCUAGGGGGCCAUCCCGGCUUACCAACCCGAUGCAAACUGCGAAUACCGGAGAAUGUUAUCACGGGAGACACACGGCGGGUGCUAACGUCCGUCGUGAAGAGGGAAACAACCCAGACCGCCAGCUAAGGUCCCAAAGUCAUGGUUAAGUGGGAAACGAUGUGGGAAGGCCCAGACAGCCAGGAUGUUGGCUUAGAAGCAGCCAUCAUUUAAAGAAAGCGUAAUAGCUCACUGGUCGAGUCGGCCUGCGCGGAAGAUGUAACGGGGCUAAACCAUGCACCGAAGCUGCGGCAGCGAACGUAUCACCCAAGACAACUUUACGGAGUUGACGAUUGACGGAGCGAAGCGACGUCAAAGCGUUCAUUAAAGUCGAGUUGGCUUAGGGAUACGUUCGUUGGGUAGGGGAGCGUUCUGUAAGCCUGCGAAGGUGA